UUGUCUCAAAGAUUAAGCCAUGCAUGUCUCAGUACAAGCCAAAUUAAGGUGAAACCGCGAAAGGCUCAUUAAAUCAGUUAUGGUUCCUUAGAUCGUACCCACACUUACUUGGAUAACUGUGGUAAUUCUAGAGCUAAUACAUGCAAACAGAGCUCCGACCGGAGACGGAAGGAGCGCUUUUAUUAGAUCAAAACCAAUCGGUGGCGGGUCCGCUCGUCAUCGUAUAACUUGGUGACUCUGAAUAACUUUAAGCUGAUCGCACGGUCUAGCACCGGCGACGCAUCUUUCAAAUGUCUGCCUUAUCAACUGUCGAUGGUAGGUUCUGCGCCUACCAUGGUCGUAACGGGUAACGGGGAAUCAGGGUUCGAUUCCGGAGAGGGAGCCUGAGAAACGGCUACCACAUCCAAGGAAGGCAGCAGGCGCGCAAAUUACCCACUCCCGGCACGGGGAGGUAGUGACGAAAAAUAACGAUACGGGACUCAUCCGAGGCCCCGUAAUCGGAAUGAGUACACUCUAAACCCUUUAACGAGGAUCAAUUGGAGGGCAAGUCUGGUGCCAGCAGCCGCGGUAAUUCCAGCUCCAAUAGCGUAUAUUAAAGUUGUUGCGGUUAAAAAGCUCGUAGUCGAAUUUGUGUCCCGCGCCGCCGGUUCAUCGUCCGCGGUGUUAACUGGCGUGUCGCGGGACGUCCUGCCGGUGGGCUUAGCUCUUCGGGGCGGUCCAACUCAAUCCCGCCGCGGUGCUCUUCACUGAGUGUCGAGGUGGGCCGGCACGUUUACUUUGAACAAAUUAGAGUGCUUAAAGCAGGCUAAAACUUCGCCUGAAUACUGUGUGCAUGGAAUAAUGGAAUAGGACCUCGGUUCUAUUUUGUUGGUUUUCGGAACCCCGAGGUAAUGAUUAAUAGGAACGGAUGGGGGCAUUCGUAUUGCGAAGCGAGAGGUGAAAUUCUUGGACCGUCGCAAGACGGACAGAAGCGAAAGCAUUUGCCAAAAACGCUUUCAUUGAUCAAGAACGAAAGUUAGAGGUUCGAAGGCGAUCAGAUACCGCCCUAGUUCUAACCAUAAACGAUGCCAGCUAGCGAUCCGCCGACGUUCCUCCGAUGACUCGGCGGGCAGCUUCCGGGAAACCAAAGCUUUUGGGUUCCGGGGGAAGUAUGGUUGCAAAGCUGAAACUUAAAGGAAUUGACGGAAGGGCACCACCAGGAGUGGAGCCUGCGGCUUAAUUUGACUCAACACGGGAAAUCUCACCAGGCCCGGACACCGGAAGGAUUGACAGAUUGAGAGCUCUUUCUUGAUUCGGUGGGUGGUGGUGCAUGGCCGUUCUUAGUUGG
Molecule: ribosomal RNA, 1327 nt
Filed under: Phymatophaea opilioides
Lineage: Eukaryota; Metazoa; Arthropoda; Insecta; Coleoptera; Cleridae
Description: SSU rRNA
Rfam family: Eukaryotic small subunit ribosomal RNA
Source: RNAcentral